UACGGAGGGUGCGAACGUUAAUCGGAAUUACUGGGCGUAAAGCGCGCGUAGGUGGUUUAUUAAGUGGGAUGUGAAAGCCCCGGGCUUAACCUGGGAACUGCAUUCCAAACUGAUGAACUAGAGUACGAUAGAGGGGGGUAGAAUUCAGAGUGUAGCGGUGAAAUGCGUAGAUAUUCUGAGGAAUACCGGUGGCGAAGGCGGCCCCCUGGAUUGAUACUGACACUGAGGUGCGAAAGCGUGGGGAGCAAAC
This 250-nucleotide ribosomal RNA is filed under the name uncultured bacterium. RNAcentral describes it as "partial 16S ribosomal RNA". It matches the Rfam family "Bacterial small subunit ribosomal RNA", at positions 524 to 773 of the family's 1533-position model. The record is from RNAcentral.